AUUGAACGCUGGCGGCAUGCUUUACACAUGCAAGUCGAACGGUAACAGGUUAAGCUGACGAGUGGCGAACGGGUGAGUAAUGCAUCGGAACGUGCCCGGUCGUGGGGGAUAACGCAGCGAAAGCUGCGCUAAUACCGCAUACGAUCUGAGGAUGAAAGCGGGGGACCGUAAGGCCUCGCGCGAUCGGAGCGGCCGAUGUCAGAUUAGGUAGUUGGUGGGGUAAAGGCUCACCAAGCCAACGAUCUGUAGCUGGUCUGAGAGGACGACCAGCCACACUGGGGCUGAGACACGGCCCAGACUCCUACGGGAGGCAGCAGUGGGGAAUUUUGGACAAUGGGCGAAAGCCUGAUUCAGCAAUGCCGCGUGCAGGAAGAAGGCCUUCGGGUUGUAAACUGCUUUUGUACGGAGCGAAAAGGUCUCCUCUAAUACGGGGGGCUCAUGACGGUACCGUAAGAAUAAGCACCGGCUAACUACGUGCCAGCCGCCGCCGUAA
RNAcentral lists this ribosomal RNA (493 nucleotides) under uncultured bacterium. RNAcentral describes it as "partial 16S ribosomal RNA". It matches the Rfam family "Bacterial small subunit ribosomal RNA", at positions 30 to 523 of the family's 1533-position model. The record is from RNAcentral.